AACGCGAAGAACCUUACCUAGGCUAGAAUGUGAGGGAAUGUUGGGUAACGCCAACAGUCUGGGAAACCAGACCCAAAACAAGGUGCUGCAUGGCUGUCGUCAGCUCGUGUCGUGAGAUGUUGGGUUAAGUCCCGCAACGAGCGCAACCCUUAUCAACAGUUGCCAUCAUUAAGUUGGGAACUCUGUUGAGACUGCCGUUGAUAAAACGGAGGAAGGUGGGGAUGAUGUCAAGUCAUCAUGGCCUUUAUGCUUAGGGCUACACACGUGCUACAAUGGAUGGUACAAAACGUCGCAAUCUCGUAAGAGGGAGCUAAUCGCGAAAACCAUUCUCAGUUCGGAUUGGAGUCUGCAACUCGACUCCAUGAAGUUGGAAUCGCUAGUAAUCGCAAAUCAGCAUGUUGCGGUGAAUACGUUCCCGGGUCUUGUACACACCG
Molecule: ribosomal RNA, 434 nt
Filed under: uncultured bacterium
Lineage: Bacteria
Description: bacterial SSU rRNA
Rfam family: Bacterial small subunit ribosomal RNA
Source: RNAcentral